RNA transcript from Fragaria vesca subsp. vesca, 1094 nucleotides. RefSeq lists it as uncharacterized. The transcript has 2 exons. Lineage: Eukaryota; Viridiplantae; Streptophyta; Magnoliopsida; Rosales; Rosaceae. The record is from RefSeq and is a predicted model, not a curated record.
CAGGACCGUCUCUCUUUCUUUUUCUCUCCUUCUCUCGACUCUUCCUGAAACCCAGAGAAAACAAUGUUGACCUCCGACGCCGUCCUAGCCAUCCAGCCAGCAAUUAAGCCGUCUUGACUUCGCCAAGGUCCCUCUGGCCUUAGUUUUUCCGAUCGGCAGCUAUGGGAAGAGAAACGGAGGCGAGAAGCUUCUGCUCCUCCGUCGAUUUCGGUGUUUUCGGGCGACUUCUCCUGGUAUGGUUUCUUUCUCUUGUCGUCCUCACCAUUCUAGGGUAUUCCAAUUUCAGUUUAGCUUCGAGUUUAACAAAUUUGGGUUUUUGGGAUUUUUGGUUGUUCCCUACCCUUGACGGAAUUCGUCACCGCCGGCGUUCUCUCCUUCUCCCGACGACCUGAGUCAACUCCAGAGAUGUUGGACCAUGGUUGGAAUCGACUUCAUGGCUGCUGAGCUGAGUUAGGCAGAUAGCGUCGAUUUGGGUUUUCCGGUGAAGGACCUCUGUUUGUUUUUGGUUAACGACUCAUUGAUUCAAGCAUAAUAUGGUGAUUCGAGAUGAAAGAAGACAGGAGCUAGCGAUUAUGGUUUUGGAUUGAAGAGAGAAGGAAGGAGGAAUCGAUCCUAGCUGCUGAGAUCUUUGUUGGUGCAGCUGUGUUCUUAAUUGGGAGCAGGCUUACAUAUUAAGGGCUUUGCAUGCAUCAGUUCAGUUGAUCCCCAAGUUAGUUGGAAGUAUGUGUAGUAGAGGAAAUUUAGGUGGUUCUUAAGUUAUUGACAUUUGGUGGUCAUGUGGUAUGGUCUUUUGGCCUGAUAAGACCAUGACCAGGAACAAUAGAUGAGGCUCGAUCAUUUGGCCUGUGUUUUGGUAAUAGAAUAUUAUGAAGGGUUAUGAAACAAGUGUCUAAAGUUCCCAUAUCUUACAAGUUAGUUUCUGUGAGUAUAACCUUGGCUGAAAUGGUGAAAUGAUAUUAUGGGUGUCCUUAAUAGUUUUGGACACAUCAAAUGCAAAUGUCGUUUGAAAACGUCGAAAGCUUAAAAGAUAUCACGUAGUGAAAGCUUAAAGCAUACCAGACGACAGAUAUCUAUUGUCUUAAAAAGACCAAAUG